AAUAAACCCACGAGCUGACAGGUCCAAACAGGCCUCAGAGAGGAUUUGAGAGCCAGGGCCCAGGCCACAGUGUGGAUCACAGCUCCAUGCCUGGGCCGGGCCUCCUUUAUUAUUCCGGAGGCGUCAGGCAUGGGGAUGGAGGACUCUGGUCUGUGCUGGAGACUUGAGAAAGACUUCAAGCAGAAGGGACUCUGAGCUGAAGACAAGAGGGAGGAAGAGAAACAGGCUCUGCAGAGCGAAUUUAGGCCAAGAAAAAGUAGGAAAGAAGGUGUCCUCUACAGCGUGAGGGGGAUUACUGUGAGAGGGACAGCACCAAAGAGCCCUCAAGGUCCACGGCCCUUUUCCAUCUGCCGCCUCAGCUGAGUCAGGUCCAGCUGCCCUAUGGAAAACCUGCUUGAGUUCUCGCGAGAAGUCCGCUCUCAGGGAUGUGAGAACUGCGCUUCGGAAGUGUCCUGGGUCACGCCUACUUCUCUGGCCGUCUCGGGUGCCCCAGACUUCUGCCUCAGAUGGGGAGGGGGACGCAUGUAUAGAGAUGGUAACAAUCCAGGUGGAGAUUCGACUGAAUAUCUGUACAAAAGAGACUGGAUUCAUCUAAACUAAUUUACAACAGAAGAG
This 615-nucleotide long non-coding RNA is filed under the name Heterocephalus glaber (naked mole-rat). RNAcentral's name for it is "lncRNA (ENSHGLG00100028086.2)". Lineage: Eukaryota; Metazoa; Chordata; Mammalia; Rodentia; Bathyergidae. The record is from RNAcentral.